This 441-nucleotide ribosomal RNA is filed under the name uncultured soil bacterium. RNAcentral's name for it is "bacterial SSU rRNA". It matches the Rfam family "Bacterial small subunit ribosomal RNA", at positions 26 to 512 of the family's 1533-position model. The record is from RNAcentral.
AGAACGAACGCUGGCGGCAUGCCUAAUACAUGCAAGUCGAACGAACUCUUCGGAGUUAGUGGCGCACGGGUGCGUAACGCGUGGGAAUCUGCCCCUUGGUUCGGAAUAACAGUUGGAAACGACUGCUAAUACCGGAUGAUGACGAAAGUCCAAAGAUUUAUCGCCAAGGGGAUGAGCCCGCGUAGGAUUAGCUAGUUGGUGAGGUAAAGGCUCACCAAGGCAACGAUCCUUAGCUGGUCUGAGAGGAUGAUCAGCCACACUGGGACUGAGACACGGCCCAGACUCCUACGGGAGGCAGCAGUAGGGAAUAUUGGACAAUGGGCGAAAGCCUAGAUCCAGCAAUGCCGCGUGAGUGAUGAAGGCGUUAGGUGUAAGCUCUUUACCCGAGAUGAUAAUGACUAGUAUACGGAGAAGUAACGCCCGGACUAACCUCCCGCGACC